AUGCACGCUGGCGGCGUGCCUAAUAUAUGCAAGUCGAGCGAACAGACGAGGAGCUUACUCCUCUGACGUUAGCGGCGGACGGGUGAGUAACACGUGGAUAACCUACCUAUAAGACUGGGAUAACUUCGGGAAACCGGAGCUAAUACCGGAUAACAUGUUGAACCGCAUGGUUCAACAGUGAAAGACGGUCUUGCUGUCACUUAUAGAUGGAUCCGCGUCGCAUUAGCUAGUUGGUAAGGUAACGGCUUACCAAGGCAACGAUGCGUAGCCGACCUGAGAGGGUGAUCGGCCACACUGGAACUGAGACACGGUCCAGACUCCUACGGGAGGCAGCAGUAGGGAAUCUUCCGCAAUGGGCGAAAGCCUGACGGAGCAACGCCGCGUGAGUGAAGAAGGUCUUCGGAUCGUAAAACUCUGUUAUUAGGGAAGAACAAAUGUGUAAGUAACUAUGCACGUCUUGACGGUACCUAAUCAGAAAGCCACGGCUAACUGCGUG
This 496-nucleotide ribosomal RNA is filed under the name uncultured bacterium. Its description in RNAcentral is "partial 16S ribosomal RNA". It matches the Rfam family "Bacterial small subunit ribosomal RNA", at positions 29 to 507 of the family's 1533-position model. The record is from RNAcentral.